RNAcentral lists this ribosomal RNA (167 nucleotides) under Oxyurichthys papuensis (frogface goby). RNAcentral describes it as "partial 12S rRNA". Lineage: Eukaryota; Metazoa; Chordata; Actinopteri; Gobiiformes; Gobiidae. The record is from RNAcentral.
CACCGCGGUUAUACGAGAGGCCCAAGUUGACAAAUGCCGGCGUAAAAUGUGGUUAUUACAGUAUUUCACUAAAGCCAAACAUCUUCAAAGCUGUUAUAUGCUCUCGAAGACAGGAAGUUCAUUCACGAAAGUGGCUUUAAGCUCUAUGCACCACGAAAGCUAGGGAA